RNAcentral lists this ribosomal RNA (263 nucleotides) under uncultured bacterium KC207. RNAcentral describes it as "partial 16S rRNA". It matches the Rfam family "Bacterial small subunit ribosomal RNA", at positions 228 to 484 of the family's 1533-position model. Lineage: Bacteria; Pseudomonadati; Pseudomonadota; Gammaproteobacteria. The record is from RNAcentral.
AGCGUAGGUCGGAUUAGCUAGUUGGUGAGGUAUGGCUCACCAAGGCGACGAUCCGUAACUGGUCUGAGAGGAUGAUCAGUCACACUGGAACUGAGACACGGUCCAGACUCCUACGGGAGGCAGCAGUGGGGAAUAUUGGACAAUGGGCGAAAGCCUGAUCCAGCCAUGCCGCGUGUGUGAAGAAGGUCUUCGGAUUGUAAAGCACUUUAAGUUGGGAGGAAGGGCAUUAACCUAAUACGUUAGUGUUUUGACGUUACCGACAG